RNAcentral lists this ribosomal RNA (969 nucleotides) under Diploschistes cinereocaesius. Its description in RNAcentral is "eukaryotic LSU rRNA". It matches the Rfam family "Eukaryotic large subunit ribosomal RNA", at positions 156 to 1129 of the family's 3401-position model. Lineage: Eukaryota; Fungi; Ascomycota; Lecanoromycetes; Ostropales; Graphidaceae. The record is from RNAcentral.
GAGGUGCUUCGGGCGCGACGGCGGUCCAAGUUCCUUGGAAUCGGACGUCGAAGAGGGUGAGAAUCCCGUAUUUGGCCGAUCGUCAAGCCCACUGCGAAGCCCUUUCGACGAGUCGAGUUGUUUGGGAAUGCAGCUCCAAGCGGGUGGUAAAUUUCAUCUAAAGCUAAAUACCUGCCAGAGACCGAUAGCGCACAAGUAGAGUGAUCGAAAGAUGAAAAGCACUUUGAAAAGAGAGUCAAACAGCACGUGAAAUUGUUGAAGGGGAAGCGCUUGCAACCAGACUCGCACGCGGGGGCUCAGCCGUUCCUCGGGACGGUGCACUCCCCCGCGAUCGGGCCAGCGUCGGUUUCGGCGGCCGGACAAAGGCCCGGGGAACGUGGCUCCCUCGCGGGAGUGUUAUAGCCCCGGGUGCAAUGCGGCCCGCCGGGACCGAGGACCGCGCAAUUUUUUUUGCUAGGAUGCUGGCGUAAUGGUUGCCAGCGACCCGUCUUGAAACACGGACCAAGGAGUCGACCGGCGACGCGAGUGUUCGGGCGUCAAACCCGGGCGCGCAAUGAAAGUGAACGGAGGUGGGAGCCCCCUUCCUCGGGGGCGCACCAUCGACCGAUCCUGAUGUCUUCGGAUGGAUUUGAGUACGAGCGCCGCCGGUCGGACCCGAAAGAUGGUGAGCUAUACGUGGAUAGGGUGAAGCCAGAGGAAACUCUGGUGGAGGCUCGCAGCGGUUCUGACGUGCAAAUCGAUCGUCAAAUCUGCGUAUAGGGGCGAAAGACUAAUCGAACCAUCUAGUAGCUGGUUCCUGUCGAAGUUUCCCUCAGGAUAGCAGCAACGAAGAAACAGUCUCAUGAGGUAGAGCGAACGAUUAGAGGCCUUGGGGCGGAAACCGCCUUAACCUAUUCUCGAACUUCGAAUAUGUGAGAAGUCCCUGUUACUUGAUUGAACGGGGACACUUGGAUGUGUCGUUGCUAGUGG